GCGCCUGGGAACCCCUGGCCACAGGUUUUGACUUUUUCCUUCCUCUGUUUCCAAAUGCUGCUUGUCAGAAUGAUAUUUUUGUCCUUUUUUUUUUUUUUAAUAUGUUAAAAGUCAGUAAGGUUUUGUCGUUCUUACAAUUUUCAGCUGAAACAUUCUUUAACUUUAUUUACUUGAUUUGAUUGUUAGAUUCCUUGAAAAAGCCUUUUGUGAAUCUUUGUACUAUGUCCUUUGUGUAGAUAUUUUGUGCAUCCUUGCAGAACCAAUGUGAUAGCUUCUUUGUAUUUCAUAUGCCUAUCAAACAAUAGUGAUUUAUGUUUGUGCACAUUUGGUUUAGAUGUCUUAUUUAUGAUUUUUAAUCUCUUCCAUUUUGCAGUGGCCUCGUAUAUUCCGUGUA
Molecule: unclassified non-coding RNA, 394 nt
Filed under: Hevea brasiliensis (rubber tree)
Lineage: Eukaryota; Viridiplantae; Streptophyta; Magnoliopsida; Malpighiales; Euphorbiaceae
Source: RNAcentral